GGCGGAACAUGUUAACAUGAUCUCAUCAUCCCAUGCGGGGAAGUGUUGGAGAUACGGCGCCGGAACUGCGACCCGUCCCAGAGCCAUCACCCCUCACCGCUCUAGGGUUCCGAUCCUCUCCCUUUCUAGGAUUGUGGGCAGAGGAUGAAUCACUGGAGACAUCCUGAUAUGUGGAUGGCUGACUUCAACAGUUUAGGGUUUCGUGGAUAUUCUUUCCCAUGUCCAUUGCUCGGGUUCAAGGGGUACAACAUUUUCUAGCGUGCAAUAUCCUCGUUCUUCUUCCGUGAUGUCCAUCUUUACAAUCGGGUUUUGCUUCGAGGACUGCUUGAAGGAUCCGAUUGGAUGGGGAAGUAUAGCUAAUUUGAACAUUUUAGGGUUUCAUUGGUUUUCUUCUCUGUUCCUAAUGAUUGGAUUCAUGGGUUACAUAAUGAGCAAUUACAACUAAAUCUUCAUAUCUUUGUUGUCUCUUGGUAGCAUAUAUCCUUACUAGCUUACAAUUUUUAUACCCUUCUACAGUUUCCAUCCUUGCAAUUGGAAAAAUUCAGAGUGGAAAGAGAAUUUCUUGGUAUUCCUAACUGAUAAAUUUCUUAUCCUUCUAUGAUCUCUAUUCCUCACAUUAAGAUUUUAUAUUGUGGACUGGAUUUGUAUUGGAAAGGAAGAUUAUCAACUUUGGCUAUCUUGAUAGGCAGAUAGCUGAUUUCGAUAUUUUAGGAUUUCAUGGAUUUUCUUUUCCAUCCUGACUGAAUGGAUUCUCGGUGGACAUCUUUUUGCAGCAUGAUCUUUUAGAUCUUCAUUGUUUCUUGGUGAUGUAAAUCCUUCCUAACUUUCAAAUUUCUCAUCCUUCUUCUAUGAUGUCAACUUUUUGGUAACCUUAUGAAGUUAUAAGUGGUUUUAAUUUACUGUAAGACAAUUUUAUGCUCUUAAUACAUAGAAUAUUCUGGUUUAGCUAACAUUUCCAACCAUAGCACACUACUUCCUCUAUGUCGACCGAAGCCAUGUUAUGUUUCACAAUCAGGAGUUUCAAAAACCUAAAACGACUGAAUUAAAUGUCUAUAAGUUCUCAUUCUACUUCUAUGUUGAUCUAUUAUAUGGAUGGGAAUGGCUUGUCGAGUUGCUAAUCAACAGUGAUCAUUCAUGAAGAGUUUCUUUGCUUUAUAACAAUUUGUUGACAUUCCUCUUGUCUAGAGAUGUAACGACAUCCUAAUUUGUGGAGAUAGAAAGUUCUGAUAAAAAAGAACAAUAAGAUAAAAAAAUAGAUAAAAUAUAAAUCCAAAAUAAUACACAUGCAACAAUGAAGCCCACGUGUUCUGUUUAUCUACAUUCUCUUUGUUGUCCUCAGGUUUAAGACAAAAGUUUAUGCAAUGUAUUGUUCUGUAGAAAUUAAAGUUCUGUGAUAUCUUUUAUGCUUAUUUACAAUUGCACCAGGGCUUUUGUAGUUUUAAAUGAUUGCAGACUUUUAUUCUCUCUAGCAUUCCUAUGUCUCCAAUUUUUUUGAGCAUCCUGUACCAAUUCUGUCAUUUCCUCUCAAUAAUGUUGCAUUUCUUGUUUGCAUAACUUUGGAACACUAGUACAGCCAGAUAACUGUUAUUUACCUAACAUUUUCUUUGAAUGCUUUAAGUUGUGAACCCAGAACUCUUUUCACUUCAUUACUUCAUUGUUCUUGAGAUUAAAACAAUGCAACUGCUGUUGAAUAUGCUCCUCACAGAGUAUAAUUAGAUGAACCAAAGUUUUAAGUGUGUGUGCACAUCUGUCCAUCUCUUACACAGUUACAUAUUUGUUUAUUUGAACAUUCAUAUCCCAAUUUAUGUAUAAAUAGGCAGGGCAUUGCAUGGGGUAACACUUCUUUUCCUCUAGUUAGUGUCAGCUAUCAGCUUAAGAAUGCAUUCUACUACACCUGGGAUUGAUCCUUCCCCUCAGCAGUGAGCACCAUGUUUCUUUAAAGUUCCAAAUCAUUAGCUCCUUCAGUGAGUUCAAAUCUACAUGUUAUGGAAACCGGAGAGAGAAAAAGCUGAUAUGAUUUCAUUCACUCACUCGAACUACCAUCUCAAGUGCAAUUUAGUGUGCAGACGCAGACAGCUUUAUAACAUGACUUACUCUUGAAUGGAAGAUACCACUACCUAAUUACCAUUUCUUUCUCACUGAUUUCAAAUAUCAACUGGUGCAACCACCACUGUCCCAGUAUAAACACUUAAUCUUGUGCUUGUUCUUAUCAUCAGGAACAUUGACCUUUUUCUUUAUUACUUCUUUUUACGUUCAUCAGUCUGCUAACUAAUGUAGGAGAUGUAGGGUUUCCAAUGGCUUGACAGCCUUGAGCUUCCGAGGAGGCGCUUGCAGCAUUGCAGAUGGUAGUGACGAGUGCAUGAACUUGCAGUUGGGGCAUGAAGGAGAUGACUCGCAGAGCAUGACGAGGAGAUGACAGUUGAUGCAGACUACCGCGACCAUGCUGCCACAUGAAUUAGAUAUGUGAUAGAUGGGAACAAAUGCAUGCUGAACAAUCACUUCUGAAGCAAGCAUGACAUCAGAGCUGGAAGCUAGCUUGAACCUUACAGAAGAAUGCAGAUACUGCACUCCAACCUGCAGGCACCGGUCUCUUCAAUGCCUUCAGAAACAGCAAUAAACAAGUGUAGUGUUAUUCGCCUUUCUUCCGGGCAAGUAAUGCAGCUUGUUCCUCCAGAUAUAGCUCACAGUUUCUGCCUUUCCCAAUUCCUGGAGGAAGAUAUCAUGAAUCUUUGUCCUUGCAUACUCAUCAUGUUUCUGCUGGUUAUCAAGGCAGGAAAUGACAACUUCUGUUCACCAUGUCAGGUACUGAAUGGAACAAGAGCGAAAAUUGUAAUCAAUUCAACCAGGCAUGACUUGGUCAGUGGCAGAAUGUGGAACAGAUCAUCACCAAACAAGCAGUGCAUUUAAGGCCAACCUACUGCAAUUCUACUUGGUUUCAAGCUCAUCUUCUACAUUCAAUUACAAAACUGCACCAGAAAUCCAUAUUCUCACUCAAUCGGCUCUUUGAUCUUAAAUGCAGUAUCCAUUCAUAUCCCUAUUUUAAUGAGGAUUCACCAUCACCAUCUCAAGCUUAAAAGAGUCAAUAAGUUUUCUGCAUCAGAAAUGAAAUGAACUAGGUUGUUGGGUUGCCAUGUAACUGUGAUCUGAGACCUACUGGAGUUUCAAGGCACAUGCCAAGGAGAAGAUUUGACUGGAAGAUCAUUUAGUUUAUUACUUGUAGCUUGCCCAAAAUCAUAUAUGUCCUACUGAUGCAAUCAAUACUUGCAUGACAUGUAAUCAAAUGUUCACGAUCACUAUUCAGAGAGAGAGAGAGAGAGAGAGAGAUCCUUUUCGGAUUUCAUGGGCGAUGUGCCAGGCCCGCCCGUGUGAGGAAUCAAGGGUGACGUGGCAUAUCGAGGUGGGUCUCAGGGUUGUUCAGAACAUUCCCCGGACUGGGACGGCUUGAGUCCGACUUUGUCGAACUGUUGGCUCACUGGGCUUUGGGAUCGGUGCGUCUCUCCAAGAAGCCCAACAAACCCGCCUCUCUAUCCGGU
This is a long non-coding RNA of Musa acuminata AAA Group (dessert banana), 3533 nucleotides long. RefSeq lists it as uncharacterized. NCBI's taxonomy places the organism in Eukaryota, Viridiplantae, Streptophyta, Magnoliopsida, Zingiberales, Musaceae. The record is from RefSeq and is a predicted model, not a curated record. The transcript is spliced from 6 exons.